This is an RNA transcript of Magnolia sinica, 556 nucleotides long. It is a transcript of the gene named structural maintenance of chromosomes protein 4-like, with no coding region annotated. The record is from RefSeq and is a predicted model, not a curated record. NCBI's taxonomy places the organism in Eukaryota, Viridiplantae, Streptophyta, Magnoliopsida, Magnoliales, Magnoliaceae. The transcript has 2 exons.
CUUUGAGACAAGUUAGUCAUCAUCCAAUGAUUGUUGCAUGCCACCAUGAAGGUAGAGGACGGAAAUUUUGGGGUCGUUCAAUCCAGCUUGAUCCUGUUGGUUUUCUAACUCUCGAGUUUGAUGAUGGUGAAGUUUUUCAGUGGAGCAAGGUAUGAAAAUCAUGAAUGAAAAUAGUAACAUUUGUUUCCUAAUGGGGUUCAAGCUGAAAUGUGUAUUUCUUUUUUAUUUUUUCCUUCAGGCAAUAACUUUUGUAUUCUACCAAUCACUGAUCACCAAAACUUGGACUGUUCCCUUUCAGGAGAUAAUUGAUAUGGAUGAUGGAAUAUAUGAAGCUGUUGCAGGAAGUGACUUUAUCAUUACUAGAGUUGCAUUUCGAGACAACUCUUCAAAGUACUACAUAAAUGACCGUGGAAGUAAUUUUAUAGAGGUUACUAAGAAACUGAAAGGAAAAGGAGUGGACUUUGACAAUUGUAAUUUCAGCAUUAUUGUAAUUGUAAUUGUGAAUGAAUGAAUGAACGAUUGUAAUUGAUUGUAAUUGAAUGAAUGAAUGAUUAUG